Long non-coding RNA from Neogale vison (American mink), 527 nucleotides. RefSeq lists it as uncharacterized. The record is from RefSeq and is a predicted model, not a curated record. NCBI's taxonomy places the organism in Eukaryota, Metazoa, Chordata, Mammalia, Carnivora, Mustelidae. The transcript is spliced from 3 exons.
GAAGCACCUCAGCCAAGUGAGCAAAGAGCAAGUUCCCCGGGGAGGCUGGUGCUGCCUGUCAGGAGACCACGUAUGGAGCAGCACUAGUUUAAGGAAGGAGAAACAAAGGCAACGAGGUGCUGCUGGGCUUGCCUGCACAAGUAAACCACUUGUACGCCAACCCUUGUCUCAGGGUCUGCUUCCAGGGGAACUCAAACUAAGAUCGGCGGUGAGGGCAGGCUUCUCUCAAAGGUGCCACCGGAGCACAUACCUAAUCCCGAGAAGCAGGCAGCUAAGCGGAGGAAGAGAAGGAAGAAGCUAUCCUAUCCGAGAUUCACAGUGUUUCAGAUGUCCUUCAUUCGCUUGGUAUUAAUUAAGCAUCUACUCUGUGGAAGGCACUAGCACUUUAGCAUGGAAAACCUUCUCCUGAAGGUGCUGGAUGUUCAGGUAAAGAGGUGGCUCUGGGAACAGAGGCAGUAACAGAGUGAGAGAAGUAUAUCCAAGGUGCUUAACAUUGUGUUGUGUUCAAGGAAAUAAAUAUUCAGAGG